Molecule: long non-coding RNA, 1330 nt
Organism: Gasterosteus aculeatus aculeatus (three-spined stickleback)
Lineage: Eukaryota; Metazoa; Chordata; Actinopteri; Perciformes; Gasterosteidae
Source: RefSeq, a predicted model, not a curated record
UUUGAAUAAUAAAUAAUAAUAAUAAUGCAACCAGACGUCAGGACACGUCAGGUCGGCUCCGUGUCAGCGCUCCACCUACAGAACGGAUGUACUGAUUGAGGCAGUUUGUUUGUGGCUGCAUGGCCUAUGAAUAAAACUCCCCAAAUGAAUAUGUAAAAUCCAGCCCACAAUUUACAAUGCGGGAGAGUUAUACGCAAUUUGGCACGGUUAUAAAAAAAGAAAAUAGAGCCUCUGCAGUCGCCUUGCACCCAUUUAUGCAAAUGACGAAGGCCAGAAGGGGUGAUGGGAUCGGGAGGUAGAGGAGAAAGGGGGGGGGACCUUCAUCCCUCACCAAAGAAAUUAUAGGAAGGCAAUCAGCAGACAAGCAGAAAUGAAGGAACUGGCUCCUUAAGGAAAAAGAGAACAAUGCGGAGGAGGAGGCGCCUCCUGCUGCUGGAAGGAAACGCAGGACGGUUGCACCUUGAACAGAGGUGACACGGGUCUGCAGGUCCAAGCGAACGCGUCCAAACCAGGUGGACACGCGCUUUGGGACUCAUGUCCCAUUGACCGGGCGGCGUGUGACGGCUGGGUCGUACCUGCUUUACGUGCUAAGGAUUCGGCCCGACGGCUCCGCUGCGUGCCCGACCGGCUCCCUCCAUCCACGGAGGUCUGGACCGGACGCGUCCGCGCUGAGGCGCCCGAGCUGCCGCCUGAGCCGGCGGCUGCAGCCCGCUGGAUCCGACCGGACAAAGAUGGUAAAAGUAUUUCACUGUUGAGCACCUGCAGGGUUCUAAUCCAAAGGCCUCCAGCAACACAAAACGUGGGAGAGGAGAAGAUGACAAACGUAAAAGCUGCAGCGCCGUUAUCGAGUGAGCGACUGGAGAUCCGUUUCCCCGAACACAUUCCAGCUGUGAACAAACCUGACAGCUGGGGAGAUGCUCUAGAGAAAUAACACCAUCAUCAGCAGAAAGCGGGAACUGAGAGGAGAUGAAAGGGUGAAGAAGAAAUCACACACUCGUAUCAACAGAGGGAAAACUUUUAAACCUCAGUACAAGUUUACUGAAAAACCUCAACGCGGAGAGCAGCACAUAGCUGAUAAUAAUAAAGUGUGCUUUCAAAAUCCUUCCAAUUCUAAAAUCAGACCUACAGCUUACCAACCAUCACAAGCACACCGGUGUUCAUAAACAUCUCAUUUGUAAAUACCUCGGCUCUCUUUUCACCCAAACGUUUAAAACUUUAGAACUCAGUACGUCAAAGUUAUUGGAAACAUGUAAUUGUGAGGUAAUAUGACAUUAGGAGAGAUCACUGAAUAAAUGGAAUCAGUAACACUGACAAAACUGUUUAAUGUGGA